UGAAUACGAGACGCUAAGGCGUCGAAGUAGUGUAUGUCAUACUUCCAAGAAAAGCUUGCACUGUCAUAGAUAAAAAACGCCUGUACCAUAACCGACACAGGUGGGUAGGUAGAGUAUACUAAGGGGCGCGAGAUAACUCUCUCUAAGGAACUCGGCAAAAUAACUCCGUAACUUCGGGAGAAGGAGUGCCUUAUUCGUAAGGUUGCAAUAACAAGAUCCAAGCAACUGUUUAUCAAAAACACAGGUCUCCGCUAAGUCGUAAGACGAUGUAUGGGGGCUGACGCCUGCCCAGUGCCAGAAGGUUAAAGAAGUUGGUUAGCAAUUGCGAAGCUGAUAACUGAAGCCCUGGUGAACGGCGGCCGUAACUAUAACGGUCCUAAGGUAGCGAAAUUCCUUGUCGGGUAAGUUCCGACCCGCACGAAAGGCGUAAUGAUUUGGAUACUGUCUCGGAGAGGGGCUCGGUGAAAUAGACUUGUCUGUGAAGAUGCGGACUACCUGCACCAGGACAGAAAGACCCUAUGAAGCUUUACUGUAACUUGAAAUUGAAAUUGGACUUUAUUCGCGCAGUAUAGGUGGGAGGCGUUGAUUAUAAUCUUGUGGGAUUAUUGGAGCCAUCAGUGAGAUACCACUCUUGUAAUGUUAGAUUUCUAACUUUGAAUCAUUAUCUGGUCAAAGAACAGUUUCAGGCGGGCAGUUUGACUGGGGCGGUCGCCUCCUAAACGGUAACGGAGGCGUACAAAGGUUUCCUCUGAACGGUUAGAAAUCGUAUCUAGAGUGUAAAGGCAUAAGGAAGCUUGACUGUGAGACCUACAAGUCGAGCAGGGACGAAAGUCGGUCUUAGUGAUCUGACGGUACUGAGUGGAAAGGCCGUCACUCAACGGAUAAAAGUUACUCUAGGAUAACAGGCUGAUCUCCCCCAAGAGUUCACAUCGACGGGGAGGUUUGGCACCUCGAUGUCGGCUCAUCGCAUCCUGGGGCGGUAGUACGUCCCAAGGGUUGGGCUGUUCGCCCAUGAAAGCGGUACGCGAGCUGGGUUCAGAACGUCGUGAGACAGUUCGGUCCAUAUCCGGUGUAGGCGUCAGAAUAUUGAGAGGAGCCUUCUUUAGUACGAGAGGACCGAGAAGGACAUACCUCUGGUGUACCAGUUAUCGUGCCAACGGUAAACGCUGGGUAGCUAUGUAUGGAGUGGAUAACCGCUGAAAGCAUCUAAGUGGGAAGCCCACCUCAAGAUAAGUAUUCUCAUCACGUAAGUGAGUAAGGUCACGGUAAGACUAACCGUUUGAUAGGCAUUAAGUGUAAGUACAGUAAUGUAUGUGCUGAGAUGUCCUAAUAGACCGAGGACUUG
RNAcentral lists this ribosomal RNA (1345 nucleotides) under metagenome. RNAcentral's name for it is "bacterial LSU rRNA". It matches the Rfam family "Bacterial large subunit ribosomal RNA", at positions 1564 to 2925 of the family's 2925-position model. The record is from RNAcentral.